Melopsittacus undulatus (budgerigar) is the source of this 4529-nucleotide long non-coding RNA. RefSeq lists it as uncharacterized. NCBI's taxonomy places the organism in Eukaryota, Metazoa, Chordata, Aves, Psittaciformes, Psittaculidae. The transcript is spliced from 3 exons. The record is from RefSeq and is a predicted model, not a curated record.
GGAGCUGAGGACUCUGAAAACCUCAAGAAACGUCUCUGUUUACUGGAAGACCAGACAGCGCAUCAUACAAACAUACCCUCCGGGCUUUCUGUAGGAGGAGGAGGAAGUCUUUAUCUUCCAUCACAAAAGGGAGGUCAAAAGGAACGAGCAAGUACCAGGCCAAGUCACUUCUGUUGUUCUAGAGUUCAUUUUUGGAGGAGAGCCAUUCUCGUUGUGUAACACUGAUGCAGCAUAUUUCAUUAGCUGUGUACAGAUCCAAGAAUAAAUUUUGGCCUUGACCGUGGAAUGUUCACCCACUUUCAAGUAUGGAUGUGACCUGCCUUCUUCUGCGACUAACAGGGUAACCAGAGGCAGUGGAACAUACACCAGGGCUAGAGAGAAUAAAACCAGAGGGAAAGCAAGCUGUCAAGAGAACAGUGUACUGAAAAGGAAAAAUGUAAAACAUGACUUCUAUUUACCAUGAUUAAUAUGUAAAGUUAACAUGUUUGUCAUGGAAUAUAUUAAUAUGUAUGUUUUCCCAUUAUGUAGAUCUUUUCUUGUAUUACCUAUUAGAAAGGGAUAUAAUCACAAUGAUGGGGCAAGAAUGCCACUUAAAAAUUAGAUGAUGCCCAGUCAACAUCAUAGAACCACUACAGUGUCAUUUCUGAUUUAGAUGUAGUGAUAUCAGUGUAAUUGCUGCUGGGAAGAAAUUAUAAUGGCUGUUAAUGAUAAAUAAAAUGACAAGAAGGAGGAUCCUCCUUCACCUAUUAUUCCAAGCAAAACUCAACUGCUGACUUCCUUAAGCACUCAGUGCCACUUACUGAUGAAGAGGAAAUAAGCAGGUUUAUUGUAGCAGUAUGGCCAUACAAACUGCACUGUCAUUUCCUAAGCCUGAGCUUAGACACUAUGGGUCUAACAAGAUUUCACCACACUAUUUUCACGAAUGGGAGAUGUAAUAGUGAAGCUCACAUGAAGUGAAUUUUAACACAAAGUUAACAUUAUUCUAACAGAAAGCACUGUAGCUAGCAAACACAAACAUAAGCAAAAAUAGGGUGAAGGCAAGUAUACAGUCAUGCACAUGGAUACUUUUCAAAGCUCUUAAAUACUCCAGCUUUGUCUCUGUAAACAUAGGCAGCCUUAACCCAUGGAUCAAAAGACCUUCCUACAUUUGUUUUAUAUCAUAAAUGUGUCAAGAAUGAGCUACACAAAGCAGUGUUCACCCACUGCACAUGGCUUGUAAGCCUAGUUGAGAGCAUCUUUCAACUCGUUCACACAUUAAAAGCCAGGAAACCAACAUCUGAUUACUAGUUCUAGCAUUAAGAUCAAAGACCAUAUCUUCCCAUCUGUGAAGAGCAAGAGCCCAAUUCUUCUUACUCUGCAAUUACAGAAGACUCGGAACACAAAAUCAACAUUAUGCUCCAUAUCCCAUGAAUAACACAAUUCCAGUCUAUAAAAGCACAAAGCACCAAGUAUAACAUACAUACAUUUUUUUUCCUAGAUGUCAUGGAAAGAAGAUAAGUACAAGCAAAUCUGUAGUCACAUCUUCACAAUGCUCUCAGUCUGCAGCCACACAAAGCUCAGUUUGCUUGAGCCACGGGCAUUAUCCUACUGUGUAAAAUUAUGACACCUCUUAAAAGGGAAAACAUCACAUACCUGCCAUUUACUCUGCAUUUAGUAUCUUCUAAAUCAAUUGGUAAAUGGUGGUGUAAGGGUUAAAGUGAAACAAUGCAUUAAAUUAAAACCACAGAAAAGACACAGGUGGUGUUUGUUGACCUGUUAUUUCAUUAUCAUUGCUAGGUUUUUAGUUACCCGUUAGUCCAGGAAGCUUAAAAAUACAAAUAAAUAAAAUGUCAACCUUAACCUGGAGAAUGAACCUGCCCACUUUCAGGUGAAACUGAUUUUCUAAUUCAGUUCUAGCUGAUGCAAACUGGUUUACUCUUGAACACAUAUAGCCAAAGAGAGCAGGGGCAGUGAAAGAAGAUAGAAGGAUGAAUAGUGUAUAACAUGUUUUGCAAAAUAUGGCAAAUUAACACAGAGAAGACCCUACUAAAACUUCUGAACCACCAGUCUAGCAUUUUGAGGUAUAUGGGAUUUUUCUCUUUAUUUUGGUGGCCUGUUUUACUACAGGGUAUGUCAAAGGAGUGCAGAGAUCUGCCAAAACCCAGCUAAUUGCUUUGGCUCCCUUGCAUGAAGAUCGUUUGCUGAUAAAUUGUUACAGACACAUUUAGGCAACAGGUUUUUAUAAGAUGCCUCAUGCUUUGUAUAAUGCAGUUUUACUUAGUAUAUGCUUUUUCUUAUGCAUUGUGUUCUUUUGCUGGCAAACUGUAACGAUGAAAUCUGCACUCUUCAAGUGACUGAAUCUUCCCCCAUGUUUCCUGAAUUUCAGCUCUCUUUUGGAAACAGUCAUCAAAGGAAAAGGCCUACCUAGUGUUUAGUAACAGGAAUUUUAUUUUAGUGCCUAUUUUAUGUUUGGGAGAGUUAGAAGAAGAGAAAGUGGGCUGGGUGGAUCUUACUCAUUUGCCAGCUUCACAAAAGAUGCUCAGAACACUUUCUUUUAGAAAGCAAAGCAUCUUGAUGUGCUCCAAAGGAGCUGCAAAGAAAAGCCUUCCUAUAGUUCGUAUGUUGAAAGACUCCUUGCAAUAGGUACACAAACUUGCUUUGGUAGUUAAUGAAAAUCUACCAAUUCAGACACAUCCAAACCUCUGCUCACCAGUAGAGUACCAAGGAUGCACGCAGGGACCCCAGCUGUCUGCCCUUCUUCCAACAAUGGUAAGGUUCUUCAGGCAGCAAGGUCCUCCAGGUUCAUGUCCUUUUCUGCACACACCUAACAUCAGGUACUGCAAAGGUGUUAUGCUCUUGGUUUACCUUUAAGCUGUGCUGGCAUUUGCAUACAAGAUGUCCUUUCCAUGUCCCAUGUGGAAUCCAGCCUGGUAGACAUUCCUGUGAUAUGAAUAACCCAGCCCUGAAAAAGAGGUGAUCUGAGUUCCUAUAUGAGAUGAAGGCAGGGAAGAGAAUUAAAUUCAGCUUUUCAAGGCAAUUCAAAUGCACACGUUUUAGAAGUGCCCUAACCACAAAAAUAUGGGACUAUUUCUGAACAAGCAUAUCCCUUUUGAAGCUGCUUUUCUUGAUAUAAAUUAUAUUAAAUAAAGUAGGAGCCAGAACUCAGGCACCCUAUACCUGACUGGGUAUCAGGAUCACACCUUGAAGUCACUUCCUUUCUCACUAGCCAUAAUGCUUUCCUCUGCAACACCUUGUUUUCUAGUAUCUCUGUUGCACAAGGAGCAGAGGCACUGCUCUGCAGCAUGAGAGUCCUGUUAGCAGAGUUUGAGUCACAGUUUCCUACUCUGCUACUGCUGCCUGAAAGCACUUUAAGCUUUACAUCUGAGCAUCUCUACAAGCACCCAGAUCUUGAUGCCUACUUGCUUACGCUCACUCUUGUGCUUGAUAACAGUCACUCUUAGUAUCUGCACUUGAUGAGGAAGGCAUCCUUCACCUUCCAGAGCUCGGUGUGGGUUUUAGCUGUGCAGGUACUUAACUGGCUGAGAAAACGGAGUGCAAGUCUCUUCUCUCCCAUGUGAUCGUGCUAACCACUGAGCUAAACAGUCUGUUCAGGUUCACUCGGUGUUCCUGACCUAGUAAAUGUUUGUAAAUCCAACAUGAAACACAUCAGCAAGAGACCUUGGAAGAGCUGCACCCCACAUCCAGUUAUACAGCAUGUUGUGACAGCCCUCUGUGGCUCAGCCUGGGGAUUAAGGACUACUGUGGCUUUCCCAGGUGAAUCAGCAGCAGGAAUUCCUUUGGGAAGAGUGCAAUUACCAGGGAUGGAAUUUAACCAGAAUUAACAUCCAGCUCCUGUGAAAACACCCAUCCUUAACAAUCACUGCUGGUCAGGACUGUGGUUUUGCAAAGAAACCAAGGAAAACAACAAGCUGGUGUCCAGUGCAGUGAUUGCCCCUGGGACUUGCCAUGGAUGUGGCAGUGGUGCAGCCUGCUUGCUUGCCUGCACUCCCUUCAGAAGAAGCUCUCUUCCAGCUUACCCCCCAAAACCCUGCCUCAUCCCAGCCUAGUUCAGCCUGGUAAUGUCCAUUGGACUUUUUAACCACAGGCCAUAGUACUGUAUAAUUAUGAAAGUACUUUAUAAAAGAUUUUCAGUCAUACAUCACAAAGAAAUACUCGGAGGUCUUGAAAAUUUCAUGCUUCACUGCUGUUUCCACAUGCUCCAUGAGCAAUUUGAAGUACAAAUGUGAAAAUGGACUAAACCAUCUCUGCACCUUCCCUGGCCCCAUUUUCCUGAGGCAGACCUCUCUAGCAAAAAAGCAUUUCCCUUGACCACUGCUGGUCAAAUGGAUAUGGCCUGCAGCAGAAAGAAAUUGGAGCUAGCACUUCAGUUUCCCUUCACGGACACCUAACACCUUGCACAAUCUCCUACCCAGCCCUCGCUGUUGUAAUGCUAUUCUUCAUUCGGAUGUAGAGGACUACCUGUGAUCAUGGAGAAUUGGGGGGAUAAAAGUGAAUUGAAAAGUGUUAUUUAUAGCUCAGAAAUAAAUAUA